CACGUAGUUAGCCGGCGCUUCUUAUCCAGCUACCGUCAACCCACCCACCAGGGGCAGGCCUGCUUCACUGGCGAAAGAGGUUCACAACCCGAAGGCCUCCAUCCCUCACGCGGCGUCGCUGCAUCAGGCUUGUGCCCAUUGUGCAAUAUUCCCCACUGCUGCCUCCCGUAGGAGUCUGGGCCGUGUCUCAGUCCCAGUGUGACCGUCCACCCUCUCAGGCCGGCUACCCGUCACCGCCUUGGUAGGCCAUCACCCCACCAACAAGCUGAUAGGCCGCGAGCCCAUCCCCCACCAAAAACACCCAAAGGCGCAUCUUUCCCACACCCACCAUGCAGCAGGCGCAGAAUAUCCCGUAUUAGCCACACUUUCAUGCGGUUAUCCAGAAGAAGGGGCAGGUUACUCACGUGUUACUCACCCGUUCGCCACUCAUCCACCACCCCCAAAAAGGAAGGCGCUUCACCGUUCGACUUGCAUGUGUUAAGCACCGCCGCCAGCGUUCGUCCUGUACCG
This 510-nucleotide ribosomal RNA is filed under the name uncultured Actinomyces sp. Its description in RNAcentral is "partial 16S ribosomal RNA". The record is from RNAcentral. Lineage: Bacteria; Bacillati; Actinomycetota; Actinomycetes; Actinomycetales; Actinomycetaceae.